This 235-nucleotide ribosomal RNA is filed under the name uncultured Actinomycetales bacterium. Its description in RNAcentral is "partial 16S ribosomal RNA". It matches the Rfam family "Bacterial small subunit ribosomal RNA", at positions 97 to 334 of the family's 1533-position model. The record is from RNAcentral. Lineage: Bacteria; Bacillati; Actinomycetota; Actinomycetes; Actinomycetales.
GGCGAACGGGUGAGUAACACGUGGGUAAUCUGCCCUGCACUCUGGGAUAAGCCUGGGAAACUGGGUCUAAUACUGGAUAUGACCUUUCUCCUUAUGGGGUUUGGUGGAAAGUUUCUCGGUGUAGGAUGAGCCCGCGGCCUAUCAGCUUGUUGGUGGGGUGAUGGCCUACCAAGGCGACGACGGGUAGCCGGCCUGAGAGGGUGAUCGGCCACAUUGGGACUGAGAUACGGCCCAG